UUCUUUAAAAUUAAAGAUUUUGGCGGUAUUUUAAUCUUUUCAGAGGAACUUGUUUUUUAAUCGAUAAUCCACGAUAAAUUGAACUUUAGUUUUAAAUUUGUAUAUCAUCGUAGUUUAAUAUUUUAUAAAAUAAUAUUUUCAGAUCAAGGUAUAGUUUAUAUUAAAGAAAAAAUGAGUUACAUUUAAUAAAAUAAAUAAAUUGGAUUUGAAAGUAAGCUCUAAAAUAUACACAUAUUGCCCGUCGCUUUCAUUUUAAAUUGAAAUAAGUCGUAACAUAGUAGAUUUAUUGGAAAAUGAAUCUAGAAAGCAAAUUAGAGCUUGAAAAGCAUUUUAUUUACAUUAAAAAGAUAUUUAUAAAAAUUAAUUUGAAUUUAAUUUAUUAUUUUUUAUCUAUAAUUUAAUAUAAUUUAUAAAAAAUUUAUUUAUUUUAUUAAUUUUUAGAAAAAAUUUUAUAAUAGUUUAUUUUACUGUAAAGGAAUUAUUUAAAAUUUGUUAAAGAAAAUUUUAUUUAUUGUAUCUUGUGUAUCAGAGUUUAUUAAUUUAAUUUUCUCGAAAUUAAAAGAGUUAAUUUUAUUGUAAAAUAAAUAUUUAUAAUAAUUAAUUAGUAAUGAAACGUUAAUCGUUUUUAAUUAUAUCUAGUUUUAAAAGAAAUAAAUUUAAUUUAGUUAAUUUUUAAAAUAAAUAUAAGGGAUAAUCUUUUAAUUAAAAUUUUAUAAAUAAAUAAUUUUAAAUAAUUAAUAGGAUUAGAAUUUUCUAUUGUUAAAAAAAUGUAAUAAUUAAUUUAAAUUUUAUAUUUUAAAAUUUAUUUAAAUUUUUAUAAUAAAGUUAUAAUGAUAAAAUUAGUAAAGUAAAUUUAAGGAAUUCGGCAAGUAAUUUUUACCUGUUUAAUAAAAACAUGUCUUUUUGAUAAUAAUAUAAAGUCUAGUCUGCCCAAUGAUUUAAUGGCCAUAGUAUUUUGACUAUGCAAAGGUAGCAUAAUCAUUAGUUUUUUAAUUGUGAACCAGUAUGAAUGGCUUAAUAAGAAAAUAACUGUCUCUAAAAUUUUAUUUUUAAGUGAAAAAGCUUAAAUUUUUUAAAAAGACGAGAAGACCCUAUAGAGUUUUUUAGUUGGGGUGAUUAUAAAAUUUAAUAAACUUUUAAAAUUAAUGAAAA
Molecule: ribosomal RNA, 1152 nt
Filed under: Pelecotomoides sp. NLG-2012
Lineage: Eukaryota; Metazoa; Arthropoda; Insecta; Coleoptera; Ripiphoridae
Description: partial 16S ribosomal RNA
Source: RNAcentral